AGCUACGCUGUUCUGCGCCGCGGAGAUCGAGAGAUUAGUGGGGAAAAUCAGAUAAACUGCAGCGGAAAAAUGUACCGAAAACCCCAACCAGUUGGACAAGCAGUAUCCGGACAUGUUCUCAAAUUUGAAAAAGGAAAACUGGAGAAAAGGUAUUGUGAAAACAUAAAUUGAUGAGAUUUCAUCUUCCGGAGUUAAAGUGGAACGAUGGAGUGGUGAAAGAUCCGGACAAUAGUGGAUUGAAAUUGAUUCUAAUAUUAUUCCGAAUCCCGGAUUGACUGCAGUAGCACUCAAGAUGCUUUUUAGAAUAAUUCAAAGCAGGGCAAGUCACAGUCCUCCAAGGGAACCGGAUUGAACAUUUUUCCGGCCGGCCUUUUAUUAUGCGCCAAUGUUCCGAGGCGCCGAGUGCAAGGUUUAACAUCGAGACAGGAUUAUCAGCUCCAGCGGAACAAACGUGAGUAUCAACAUGAAGAGAGUUAAUUCCAGAUCCAGAUAACACGAACUUCAAAUCUGUUUCAGGAUGUGCAAGGUACUAUACUAUCGAUAGCAGCAAAAUAGACAAACGUAGACGGAUUAUUCAAUAAGGGUCGUUAUGCUCCUCCGCAGGAAUAUGACCCAGUUGCACCGAAAAUUGUGUUGAACUCAGUAUUUGGUACACAGCUCAGGGAAGAUAAAAGUGUGCCCUCUGGUCUACACGAUGUGUCGUUCUCAAGAAAUCAAACAAAAAUCUUUGCCAACCAGUAGGCCAACACCCACUUACAACCGAACAACUCGGAUAUGCAAGGAAGAAACUUUGAAGAAUCUGAAAAACAAACGGAGCCAAGAUUAGUUUGAAAAAUUGAUAAUCAUAACGCGUUUCGAUAUGAUCAAAGCUGUGGGAAACAUCAACUUUAAUUGUCUGGAUAUUCUGGCAACGAAUUGAAGUCAGUUUUAAAAAUUAUUAGACGUUUCUGUUGAUAGUUAGUGGCAUUUUGCAGCUCAUUUGAAACUGGCCAACAUGGAGCAUUUUUUAUUUUAUUUGAAUUAAUGUCAAAAGAUGAGAAUAAAUUCGUUGUCGCCCACAGCGGUUCCCGUUUAAGCAAGUAGUGAGAUUUUCCUGCAGGUAGAGCCUAGAGCAUCACGUAAUAGCUCAUUCGAAUUUGUAAACAUCAAUGAAAAAAAAAAUGGCUC
Long non-coding RNA from Uranotaenia lowii, 1167 nucleotides. RefSeq lists it as uncharacterized. The record is from RefSeq and is a predicted model, not a curated record. NCBI's taxonomy places the organism in Eukaryota, Metazoa, Arthropoda, Insecta, Diptera, Culicidae. The transcript has 3 exons.